This 597-nucleotide long non-coding RNA is filed under the name Mustela putorius furo (domestic ferret). RNAcentral describes it as "lncRNA (ENSMPUG00000027561.1)". The record is from RNAcentral. Lineage: Eukaryota; Metazoa; Chordata; Mammalia; Carnivora; Mustelidae.
AUGGAGGAGAAAUGUGAUGACCUCAACUCUAGGCACCCGAAAUUCAAGAAAACAACAUACCGUUUUUUGGUGGGUGAUGCCUGUGUGGUCAUUGAAUUCCUUUCUUUUCAGCCUACCACCCACAGUCUUGAAUUGCUUCCUGGGAUGACAGCCUCCCCAAUAGUCACUGUGCCCUCGAUCCUGCACGCCCUAGUAAGGCCAUGGGGACAGGCGGCCGGAUUACACCCUACUGGGGAGUCUUCUUGCUCUCCCCCGAAGACUCAGGGAUGGGUUUGCCAUACCUGCCCUAGAAAGAAACAUGGAGACUUAACAUUAAAGGGAGGUAAAAUUUGCUCCCCCUCAUACUGCCUCCAUGAGGUCGCGGGUAGGACAAGGAGGAGGCUGUGCGGAUGCUCCAAACGCUGGUGUAACCUGGAUGGAAUAUUGGGCUUCCUGUCCCUGGUAAGGAAUGCGGGGUGUUGCCUGCUCAUGGGCUGGAAUCUUACCUGUGACCUUCACUUGUGUAGGUCCAGGCCUCUGCUCAGACAGCAGAGUGGGGUCUGAAAACAAACAAGAGCUGAUCCCGGAGGGACAGGUCUCUGAAAAUCAAGCUGUAAA